AGCCAUCUGGCCUAAUACUGACACUGAGGUGCGAAAGCAUGGGGAGCAAACUGGAUCAGAUACCCUGGUAGUCCAUGCCGUAAACGAUGUCUACUAGCCGUUGGGGCCUUUGAGGCUUUAGUGGCGCAGCUAACGCGAUAAGUAGACCGCCUGGGGAGUACGGUCGCAAGACUAAAACUCAAAUGAAUUGACGGGGGCCCGCACAAGCGGUGGAGCAUGUGGUUUAAUUCGAUGCAACGCGAAGAACCUUACCUGGUCUUGACAUAGUAAGAACUUUCCGGAGAUGGAUUGGUGCCUUCGGGAACUUACAUACAGGUGCUGCAUGGCUGUCGUCAGCCCGUGUCGUGAGAUGUUGGGUUAAGUCCCGCAACGAGCGCAACCCUUUUCCUUAUUUGCCAGCGGGUUAAGCCGGGAACUUUAAGGAUACUGCCAGUGACAAACUGGAGGAAGGCGGGGACGACGUCAAGUCAUCAUGGCCCUUACGACCAGGGCUACACACGUGCUACAAUGGUCGGUACAAAGGGUUGCUACCACGCGAGUGGAUGCUAAUCUCAAAAAGCCGAUCGUAGUCCGGAUUGGAGUCUGCAACUCGACUCCAUGAAGUCGGAAUCGCUAGUAAUCGCGGAUCAGAAUGCCGCGGUGAAUACGUUCCCGGGCCUUGUACACACCGCCCGUCACACCAUGGGAGUUUGUUGCACCAGAAGUAGGUAGUCUAACCGCAAGGAGGACGCUUACCACGGUGUGGCAGAUGACUGGGGUGAAGUCGUAACAAGGUAACCA
This 780-nucleotide ribosomal RNA is filed under the name uncultured Acinetobacter sp. RNAcentral describes it as "bacterial SSU rRNA". It matches the Rfam family "Bacterial small subunit ribosomal RNA", at positions 723 to 1502 of the family's 1533-position model. Lineage: Bacteria; Pseudomonadati; Pseudomonadota; Gammaproteobacteria; Moraxellales; Moraxellaceae. The record is from RNAcentral.